CGGGCGCGAGCGCGGCAGUUUAGCGCGCCGCACGCGUCCACACUCGCGCUCGCUUUGCAGCCGGCGCUCUCCGGGUGUGGGCGGGUGGGGGGCGUCGCAAAAAAAGAUUACAGCCCGGGCCGAUUGUUUGUUUUACCAGGCCUAGGCGUGGCGUUUCUUUUCACGCAUCCAAUCUUUAAACUUUUGGUAAAGAAAACCCUAAUCCUUCCUGAAUGCCCUUUCCUCCCAGAAAAAGCCCACCAAGCAACUCACUACUUUCCACGCGCGCCCUGAAGUCUGGGCGGCGCCACAACACUCCCUCCUCCUCCAUCCUCCCCACACACACCUCCAGACUCUAGAACAAUGAAAAAAGUUUACUUUGAUAAGAAGGAAGGUAAAAAGGUGGACGGAGGCGGCACUUUUAUUGUUGCUUCUCUCGCCCCCACGGGAAAGUGGAACAUAUGGCUUGUCACGCUGUGCCGUUUUGGCGGGAGGUGGGGAGGCGGACAUGGGAGCCAGGAAAGCUAAGGGCCCGCAAUGGAGCAUGACUCCCUUGAAAAUGAUAAAAUAUAUAUUUACUGUUAUGUUUGGAUGCCACCCACCCAAAUAUAAAGUUAACGUGUCCCCUACCCGCCCCUUGCGCCUUUGCCCGGGUGCUGGCGUGAUGACCCAGGCGGAAGUCGCAGGGCCGCACUUCUUUCCGAUUUCCACGCGGGCCUCGCCGCCCCCUCGGCCCUCGCACGUUUCUUCGCAGCACUCUAGGCCGCCGAGUCUGUUAUGAAAUCCGGUGCUGCCGAGUGGCUAAGAUUGAGUUCCAUUGCGAUGUAAUUAGGUCACCCCAUUAUGAACACGUUUCUUUGGAAAGGACGGGGCGGGCCGAAGAGAGCGCUCGAGUCACACUCUCACCACCCCCAACACACACACACAUAUAUUUUUUUUUUAACUGCAUUUUUUAUUUAUUCGUCAACCUCUGGGCAAACCCAGCGAAACCUUCCAAAUCACAACUGUUUGAGAAACCGGUUGUUUUCAACUUUGCGAAACACAACUUUUGCUGCAGCCGGAACCUACGUGAUCCCAGCGGGAUCGGCUUUCAUUUGUCUCCUCUGCCUGAAAUUGAUGGCCCCCACUUUAACCCGGCUGCUGCCCCUCGCCUGUUCUACUGCUGCUCUCCAGCCGCCUGUUGCUUCUCUUCCCCUGCUCCCAUUUUUCAGCUUUUCUUUUCAGGCAAGCGCCAGAAAGGGAAAUAACUUCUAUCCACCUUAAUUUCAAUCAUUCAAGUGUAGGUUUCUUCCUUAGAGGGAUGUUUGCUCGUUCCUUUCCCAGCCCCAAGUGGGUGUUGGGGCGGGGGGCGGGGGGCGGGGGGGGGACGAUUUCGUGCAGUUUCUUGGUGAUGAGGUAAUGAGUUCCAGAUUUUGGGACAGAGCAGGGUGCACGCUGAAACCACAAGGUCCUUGAGGAAUUGCCACACUGUCUUCCACAAUGGUUGAACACUCCCACCAACAGUGCCUUUGGGAGGCCAAGGCAGGAGGAUUGCUUGACACCUGGAGUUGAAGAUCAGCCUGGACAACAAAGGAAGACCCUAUGUCUUUAAUUUAAAAAAAAUCUAUUGUAUGUGAGUCACUUCUCUUUUGCUACUUCAAGGUUCUCUUUUUGUCUUUGACUUUUGAGAGUUUGAUUAUAACAUAUCCUGGUGUGGGCGUCUUUGAUUUAUUUUACUUGGAGUUCAUUGAACUUCUUGGAUGUUCAUAUUCAUGUCUUUCAUCAAAUUUGGGAAGUUUUUAGCCAUAGUUUCAGAUAUUCUCAUUAUCCCUUUCUCUCUCUUCUUCUGGGACUCCCAAUAUGCAUAUAAUGGUGGUCCACAGGUCCUUUAGGCUCUGUUCACUUUCCUCUAUUUUUUUCCUUUCUGUUCUUCAGACUUGACUAUUUCCAUUGUCCUAUCUUCAAAUUUGCUGAUUCUUUUUCUUGCCUGCUCAAAACUAUCUUUGAAUCCUAAAGUGAAUUUUUCAUUUUAGUUACUGUACUUUUCAGCUCUAGAAUUUCUUUUUACUUUCACUUUAGGCUUACUAUCUCUUUAUUGUUAUUCCCAUUUUGUUCAUACAUCUUUUUCUUGACUAUCUCUAUAUCUUUAUUUAGUUCUUUCAGCAUCUUUAAGACAGUUGUUUUAUUUUUUACAUUUUAUUGCACUUUAGGUUGUGGGGUACAUGUGCAGAACAUGCAGGAUUGUUGCAUAGGUAUAUACAUGGCAAUGUGAUUUGCUACCUCCAUCCCCAUCACCUAUAUCAGGCAUUUCUCCCCAUGUUAACCCUCUCUAACUCCCUAGUCCCCCACUGUCCCUCCGCCAGUCCCCCCCAACAGUCCCCAGUGUGUGAUGCUCCCCUCCCUGUGUCCAUAUGUUCUCAUUGUUCAAUACCCACCUGUGUGUGAGAACAUGCGAUGUUUGAUUUUCUGUUCUUGUGUCAGUUUGCUGAGAAUGAUGGUUUCCAGAUUCAUCCAUGUUCCUACAAAGGACACAAACUCAUCGUUUUUUUAUGGCUGCAUAGUAUUCCAUGGUGUGUAUGUACCACAUUUUCCUUAUCUAGUCUAUCAUUGAUGGGCAUUUGGGUUGGUUCCAGGUCUUUGCUAUUGUAAACAGUGCCACAGUACACAUUUGUGUGCACGUGUCUUUAUAAUAGAAUGAUUUAUAAUCCUUUGGAUACAUACCUAGUAAUGGGAUUGCUGGGUCAAAUGGAAUUUCUAUUUCUAGGUCCUCGAGGAAUUGCCACACUGUCUUCCACAAUGGUUGAACUAAUUUACACUCCCACCAACAGUGUAAAAGUGUUCCUAUUUCUCCACAUCCUCUCCAGCAUCUGUUGUCUCCAGAUUUUUUAAUGAUCGCCAUUCUAACUGGCGUGAGAUGGUAUCUCAAUGUGCUUUUGAUUUGCAUUUCUCUAGUGACCAGUGAUGAUGAGCAUUUUUUCAUAUGUUUGUUGGCCUCAUAUAUGUCUGCUUUUGAAAAGUGUCUGUUCAUGUCCUUCACUCACUUUCAAAUGGGUUUGUUUGUUUUUUUCUUGUAAAUCUGUUUUAGCUCUUUGUAGAUUCUGGAUAUUAACCCUUUGUCAGAUGGGUAGAUUGCAAAAAUUUUUUCCCAUUCUGUCAGUUGCCAGUUCACUCUAAUGAUUGUUUCUUUUGCUGUGCAGAAGCUCUGGAGUUUAAUUAGAUCCCAUUUGUCUAUUUUGGCUUUUGUUGCCAGUGCUUUUGGUGUUUUAGUCAUGAAGUCCUUGCCUGUGCCUAUGUCCUGAAUGGUUUUGUCUAGGUUUUCUUCUAGGGUUUUUAUGGUGUUAGGUCUUAUGUUUAAGUCUUUAAUCCAUCUGGAGUUAAUUUUAGUGUAAGGUGUCAGAAAGGGGUCCAGUUUCUGCUUUCUGCACAUGGCUAGCCAGUUUUCCCAAUACCAUUUAUUUAACAGGGAAUCCUUUCCCCAUUGCUUGUUUUUGUCAGGUUCAUCAAAAAUCAGAUGGUUGUAGAUGUGUGGCGUUGCCUCCGAGGCCUCUGUUCUCUUCCAUUGGUCUGUAUGUCUGUUUUGGUACCAGUACUAUGCUGUUUUGAUUACUGUAGCCUUGCUGUAUAGUUUCAAGUCAAGUAGUGUGUUGCCUCCAGCUUUGUUCUUUUUGCUUAGAAUUGACUUCACUAUGUGGGCUCUCUUUUGGUUCCAUGUGAGGUUUAAGGUGGUUUUUUCCAGUUCUGUGAAGAGGGUCAUAGGUAGCUUGAUGGGGAUAGUGUUUAAUCUAUAAAUUACUUUGGGCAGUAUGGCCAUUUUUGCGAUACUGAUUCUUCCUAACCAUGAGCAUGGAAUGUUUUUCCAUCUGUUUGUGUUCUCUGUUAUUUCCUUGAGCAGUGGUUUGUAGUUCUCCUUGAAGAGGUCCUUUACAUCCUUUGUUAGUUGUAUUCCUAGGUAUUUUAUUCUCUUUGUAGCAAUUGUGAAUGGCAGUUCGUUCUUGAUUUGGCUCUAAGUCUGUUAUUGGUGUAUAGGAAUGCCUGUGAUUUCUGCACAUUGAUUUUUUUAUCCUGAGACUUUGCUGAAGUUGCUUAUCAGUUUAAGGAGAUUUUGGGCUGAGAUGAUGGGAUCUUCUAAAUAUACAAUCAUGCCAUCUGCAAAUAGAGACAGUUUGACUUCCUCCUUUCCUAACUGAAUACCCUUUAUUUCUUUUUCUUGUCUGAUUGCUGUGCCUAGAACUUCCAAUACUAUAUUAAAUAGGAGUGGUGAGAGAGGGCAUCCUUUCUAGUGCCAGAUUUCAAAGGGAGUGCUUCCAGUUUUUGUCCAUUCAGUAUGAUACUGGCUGUGGGUUUGUCAUAAACAGCUUUUAUUAUUUUGAGAUACAUUCUGUCGAUACCUAGUUUAUUGAGAGUUUUCAGCAUAAAGUGCUGUUGAAUUUUGUUGAAGGCCUUCUCUGCUUCUAUUGGGAUAAUCAUGUGGUUUUUGUCUUUGGUUCUGUUUAUGUGGUGACUUACAUUUGUAGAAUGAGCUUUCCAUCCCUGGGAUGAAGCCUACUUGAUCGUGAUGGAUAAGCUUUUUCGUAUGCUGUUGGAAUCGGUUUGCCAGUAUUUUAUUGAAGAUUUUUGCAUCUAUGUUCAUCAUGGAUAUUGGCCUGAAGUUUUCUUUUCUUGUUGAGUCUCUGCUGGGUUUUGGUAUCAGGAUGAUGUUGGUCUCAUAAAAUGAUUCGGGAAGGAUUUCUUCUUUUUGGAUUGUUGAAAUAGUUUCAGAAGGAGUGGUACCAGCUCUCCUUGUAUGUCUGGUAGAAUUCUGCUGUGAACCCAUCUGGACCUGGGCUUUUUUUUUUUGGUUGGUAGGCUAUUAAUUGCUGCCUCAACUUCAGCCCUUGUUAUUGGUGUAUUUAGGGUUUCGACUUCUUCCUGGUUUAGGCUUGGGAGGGUGCGAGUAUCCAGGAAUAUAUCCAUUUCUUCCAGGUUUUAUUGGUUUAUGUGCAUAGAGUUGUUUGGUAAUCUCUGAUGGUAGUUUGUAUUUCUUUUUUUUUUUUUUUUCUGAUACAGUGUUUUUGCUCUUGUUACCCAGGCUGGAGUGCAAUGGCAUGAUCUCGGCUCACCGCAACCUCUGCCUCCUGGGUUCAAGCAAUUCUCCCGCCUCAGCCUCCCGAGUAGCUGGGAUUACAGGCACGUGCCACCAUGCCCAGCUAAUUUUUUGUAUUUUUAGCAGAGACGGUGUUUCACCAUGUUGACCAGGAUGGUCUCGAUCUCUUGACCUUGUGAUCCACCUGCCUCGGCCUCCCAAAGUGCUGGGAUUACAGGCUUGAGCCACCAUGCCUGGCCUGGUAGUUUGUAUUUCUGUGGAAUCUGUGGUGAUAGCCCUUUUAUCAUUUUUUAUCACAUCUAUUUGAUUCUUUUAUCUUUUCUUUUUUAUUAAUCUGGCUAGUGGUCUAUUUCAUUGAUCUUCUCAAAACACUAGCUCCUGGAUUUAUUAAUUUUUUGAAAGGUUUUUUAUGUCUCUAUCUCCUUUAGUUCUGCUCUGAUCUUAGUUAUUUCUUGUCUUCUGCUAACUUUUGAGUUUUUUUGCUCCACUAGCUCUUUUAAUUUUGAUGAUAGGGUGUCAAUCUUAGAUCUUUCCUUGCUUCUCAUGUGAGCAUUUAUUGCUUCAAGUUUUCCUCUAGACACUGCUUUAAAUGUGUCCCAGAGAUUCUGGUACAUUGUAUCUUUGUUCUCAUUGGUUUCAAAGAAUAUCUUUAUUUCUGCCUUCAUUUCAUUGAUUAUCCAGUCAACACUUAAGAGCCAGUUGUUCAGUUUCCAUGAAGUUGUAUGGUUCUGAGUUAGUUUUUUAAUCCUGAAUUCUAAUUUGAUUGCACUAUGGUCUGAGAGACUGUUUGAUAUGAUUUCCGUUCUUUUGCAUUUGCUGAGGAGUGAUUUACUUCCAGUUAUGUGGUCAAUUUUAGGCUACGUGUGAUGUGGUGCUGAGAAGAAUUUAUAUUCUGUGGAUUUGGGGUGGAGAGUUCUGUAAAGGUCUAUUAGGUUUGCUUGGUCCAGAUUUGAGUUCAAGUCCUGGAUAUCCUUGUUAAUUUUCUGUCUUGUUGAUCUGUUUAAUAUUGACAGUGGAGUGUUAAAGUCUCCCACUAUUAUUGUGUGGGAGUCUAAGUCUCUUUGUAGGUUAUGAAAAACUUGCUUUAUGUAUCUGGGUGCUCCUGUAUUGGGUGCGUGUCUAUUUAGGAUCAUUAGUUCUUCUUGUUGCAUUGAUCCUUUUACCAUUAUAUAAUGCCCUUCUUUGUCUCUUUUGAUCUUUGUUCGUUUAAAGUCUAGUUUAUCAGAGAUUAGGAUUGCAACUCCUGCUUUUUUUUGCUGUCCAUUUGCUUGGUAAAUCUUCCUCCAUCCCUUUAUUUUGAACCUAUGUGUAUCCUUGCACGUGAGAUGGGUUUCCUGGAUCCCCAUCUGAUGGUUUUGACUUUUUAUCCAGUUUGCCAGUCUGUGUCUUUUGGUUGCAGCAUUUAGCCCAUUUACAUUUACGGUUAAUAUUAUUAUGUGUGAAUUUGAUCCUGCCAUUUUGAUGCUAGCUGACUGUUUUGCUGAUUAGUUGAUGCAGUUUCCUCAUUGUAUUGAUGUUCUUUACCAUUUGGUACAUUUUUCAAGUGGCUGGUACUGGUUGUUCCUUUCUAUGUUUAGUUCUUCUUUCAGGAGCUCUUGUAAAGUAGGCCUGGUGGUGACGAAAUCUCUGAGCAAUUGCUUGUAUGUAAAGGAUUUUAUUUCUCCUUCACUUAUGAAACUUAGUUUGCCUGGAUAUGAAAUUCUAGAUUGAAAGUUCUUUUCUGAUCCAAGAUGGCCAAUCAAUAACAGCUCGGGAUGGCAGCUCUCAGUCAAAGCGCAGAGAACUAGAGGACACCACACUUUCAGACAAAUUCUGGUCACUCACGGAGCAGAAGAUCCCCAGUGGAGGAACCACACGGGUCACCAGCACAACUCUUGUGGCCGGUGCAGUGGUUUUGCUGGCACCUUGGCACGGCAGCUCUCGGAGCAGAGUAAACAGGGUUGGCUCCCCUUCUGAUCGAGGCUUGGAGGACCCACACGGGCCACCAGCGCGACUCUUGUGUCUGGCGCAGCAGCUUCGCCAGCACCUCAGUGCGGCAGCUCUCAGAGCAGAGUAAAUAGGGCCGGCUCCCCUUCUGACCGAGGUUUGGUGGACCCACACGGGUCCCCAGCAUGACUCCUGAGACUGGCGCAGCAGCUGUGAUGGCACCUCAGCGCAGCAGCUCUCAGCGCAGAGUAAACGAGACUGGUUCCCCUUCUGACCGAGGUUUGGAGCCCGGGGAAGACAGAGUCGCCCAUUACGGACACAAGAAGGAAGCCAGACAGGAGAAUCCUGGGCAGAAAAGCACCAUCAGUUUUAACGCCGCUGUUCUGGCCCUGGGAACUAACAACCUGGACGUCCAAUCAAGAGACCUAAUCUGAAAGUUGGUAAUUUAAAAGACGACAAGAGGAUAAAUUUACAAUGACGGGAAGAAACCAGCGUAAAAAGGCUGAGAAUACUCAAAAUCAGAAGGCCUCUCCCUCUAAAGAUGAUCACAGUUCCACAUCAACAAUGGAACAAGGCUUGACAGAGAAUGAGCGCAUCCCAAUGACAGAAUCACUCUUCAAGGAAUGGAUAAUAAGAAACUUCUGUGAGUUAAAAGAACAUGUUGUAGACCAACGUAAAGAAACUAGGAACUUUGAAAAAAGGUUUGAUGAAAUCCUAUUGAGAAUAGACAACUUAGAGAGGAAUAUAAGUGAAUUAAUGGAACUGAAGAAUACAAUACAGGAACUCCAAGAAGUAUGCACAGGUUUAAACACUCAAAUUGUUCAAGCAGAAGAAAGGAAAACAGAGGUCAAAGUCCAACUUAAUGAAAGAAAACAGAAAGACAAGAUUAGAGAUAAAAGGAUAAAAAGAAUGAGCAAAGUCUCCAAGAAAUGUGGGACUAUGUGAAAAGACCAAAUUUACGUUUGAUAGGUGUACCUGAAUGCGACGGAGAGAAUGAAUCCAAGCUGGAAAAUACCCUUCAGGAUAUUAUUCAGGAAAAUUUUCCUAAACUAGCAAAGCAGGUCAAUAUUCAACCCCAGGUAAUACAGAGAACACCACAAAGAUAUUCCUCAAGAAGAGCAACCCCAAGGCACAUAAUCGUUAGAUUCACCAGGGUUGAAACGAAGGAGAAAAUACUAAGGGCAGCCAGAGAGAAAGGUCAGGUUACCCACAAAGGCAAGCCUAUCAGAUUUACAGCAGAUCUCUCAGCAGAAACCCUACAAGCCAGAAGAGAGUGGGGGCCAAUAUUCAACAUCCUCAAAGAACAGAACCUUCAGCCCAGAAUUUCAUAUCCAGCCAAACUAAGCUUCACAACUGAAGGAAAAAUAAAAUCUUUUAUGAACAAGCAAGUACUCAGAGAUUUUUAUUACCACCAGGCCUGCUUUACAAGAGCUUCUGAAGGAGGCAUUACACACAGAAAGAAACAACCAGUAUUAGCCUUACUAAAAAUAUACCAAAAAGUAAAGAGCACCAACAUAAAGAAGAAUUUUCAUCAACGAAUGGAUCAAACAGCCAGUUAACAUCAAAUGACAGUAACUCUAAAUUUAAAUCGACUAAAUCCCCCAAUCAAAAGACAUAGCCAAAACCCAACGGCAUGUUACAUCCAGACCUGUUUCACAUGCAAGGAUACACAAAGACUCAAAACAAAGGAAUGGAGAAAGAUUUACCAACCAAAUGGAGAGCAAAAAUAAAUAAAUAAAUAAAUAAAUAAAAAGCAGGAGUUGCAAUUCUCAUAGCAGAUAAAAUAGAUUUUAAAGCAACAAAUAUAUAGUGGUAAAAGGAUCAAUGCAACAAGAGCUAACGAUCCUAACACCCAGAUACAUAGAGACUUAGAUUCAACAAGACAGAAAAUUAAUAAGGAUAUCAAGGACUCGAACUCAGAUCCAGAACAAGUAAACUUAAUAAAUAAUAUUUAUGGAGCUCUCCACUUCAAAUACAUAAAAUAUACAUUCUUGUCAAUACCACAUCACACCUAGUCAUACGUUUAAAUGAAACAUUGAUUGGCCAUUAUUAAUACCCAUUUUUUUUUUUCAGAAUAAAGCAAUAUUUCCGUUCACCCUCCCUCUCUCUCUUCCUCUUUCUUUCUCUCCUUUACUCAUUUUUUUUUCUUUCCUUCUCUCAAAAAAAAGAAAUCAACUUGUAAACCUCUAGAUCCAGGUCGGCAAUGUCUCUCUCAUUGCUUGAAUUCCUUCCUUCCCUUCCCUCCCUCCCUCCCUCUCUCCCUUCCCUCCUUCCUCCCUUCCUUCCUUCAUCCCUUCCUUCCUCCCUCCCUUCCUCCUUCCCUCCCUUCCUGCCUUCCUCCCCCCCAAAAAAAGUUCUUUUCUUUAAGGAUGUUGAAUAUUGGCCCCCACUCUCUUCUGGCUUGUAGGGUUUUUGUCGAGAGUUCCACUGUGAGUCUGAUGGGCUUCCCUUUGUGGGUAACCCGACCUUUCUCUCUGGCUGCCCUUAGCAUUUUUUCCUACAUUUCAACCCUGGUGAAUCUGACCAUUAUUUGCCUUGGGGUUACUCUUCUUGAGGAGUAUCUUUGUGGUGUUUUCUGUAUUUCCUGGACUUGAAUAUCAGCCUGCCUUGCUAGGUUGAGGAAGUUCUCCUGGAUAAUAUCCUGAAGAGUGUUUUCCAGCUUGGAUUCAUUCUCUCUGUCACAUUCAGGUACACCUAUCAAAUGCAGAUUAGGUCUUUUCACAUAAUCCCAUAUUUUUUGGAGGCUUUGUUCAUUUUUUUUUUUUUUUUUACUCUUUUUUUCUCUAAUCUUGCCUUCUUGUUUUAUUUCAUUGAGUUGAUCUUCAAUUUCUGAUAUCCUUUCUUCCACUUGGUCAGUUCGGCUAUUGAAACUUGUGUAUGCUUUGUGAAGUUCUCGUGUUGUGUUUUUCAGCUCCAUCAAUUCAUUUACAUUCUUCUCUAAGCUGUUUAUUCUCGUUAGCAUUUCAUCAAACCUUUUUCAAGGUUCUUAGUUUCUUUGCAUUGGAUUAGAACAUGGUCUUUUGGCUCAGAAAAGUUUGUUAUUACCCACCUUCUGAAGCCUAUUUCUGUCAAUUUAUCAGACUCUUCUCCAUCCAGCCUUGUUCCCUUGCUGGUGAGGAGUUGUAAUCCCUUGGAGAAGAAGUGUUCUGGUUUUGGGUGUUUUCAUCCUUUUUGUGCUGGUUUCUUCCCAUCUUUAUGGAUUUAUCUACCUGUGGUCUUUAUAGUUGGUGACUUUUGGAUGGGGUCUCUGAGUGGAUGUCCUUUUUGUUGAUAAUGAAGUUAUUUCUUUCUGUUUUUUAGUUUUCCUUCUAACAGUCAGGCCCCUCUGCUAUAGGACUGCUGGAGGUCUACUCCAGACCUUACUUGCCUGGGGAUCACCUGUGGCAGCUGCAGAACAGUAAGGGUUGCUGCCACUUUCUUCUUCUGUUAUCUUUGUCCCAGAAGUGUACCCACCAGAUGUCAGCCUGAGCUCUCCUUUAUGAGGUGUCUCUUUGGAUAUAUGGAGGUCAGGGAGCUACUUGAGGAGACAGUCUGUCCCUUAUAAGAGCUCAAGUGUUGAGCUGUGAGCUCCAUUGUUUCGUUCAGAGCUGCUGGGCAGUUAUGUAAAGUCUGCUGCAAUGGAACUCAUAACCACCUUUUUUUCCCAGGUGCUCUGUCCUGGGAAGGUGGGGCUUUAUUUAUAAGUUCCUGAUAUGCUACUGCCUUUUUUCAGAGAUACCCUGCCCAGCAAGGAGGUAGCCUAGCCACAGUCUGACAGCAGAGGCAUUGCUAAGCUGCUGUGGGCUCUGCUCUGCUGCUGUUUGAACUUCCUUGCAGUUUUGUUUAUAGAGGUGUAGUUAGAACUGCCUCAGUAAUGACGGUCUGCCUCAGUAAUGGUGGACUGUCUCUGUAAUGGCGGACUGCCUCAAUAAUGGCGGACUGCCUCGGUAGUGGUGGACUGCUGCAGUAAUGGCAGAUGCCCUUCCCCCCACAGAGCUGGACGAUCCCAGGUCCAGCUGUGCUUGCUGUGAAACUCUCAAUCCAGAGCGUUUCAGAUUGCUGGUCUUUGUGGGGGUGGGACCUGCCAGGCCAGAUCACCUAGCUCCCUGUUUCAGCCCCUUUUUUCAGUUGAAUGGGUGACUCUGUCUCCCAGGCAUUCCAGGCACCAGGUUAAAUGGCUACCCAUAUUUGUGUGAGUUUUUGUGUGCAGACCUGCUGUGCCAGCUGCAGCAGCCAUGCUGGAGACUCGUCACACUUUUCUGCCCAGGAAUCUCCGGGUCUGUGGGCAGCAAAAACUCUUUUGGAAAUGUGGUGAUCACCCACCCUCUAUGUUCUCACUGGGAACUGCACUCCAGAGCUGUUCCUAUUCAGCCAUCUUGGAUCAUCUCCAAGACAGUUGUGUUAAAGACUUUGUCUAGCAGAUCUGCCAUCAGUUCUUUUUCAGGAACAGUUUCUGUUGAUUUAUUUUUUGGAUGGGUCAUGCUUUCCUGUUUCUUUGUAUGCUUUGUGAUUUUUUGUUGUUGUUGAAAACUGGAUAUUUCAGUCUAAUGAUGUGGUAAUUAUGGAAAUCAGAUUCUCCCCCUUCACCAGGGUUUGCUAGGUUUGGUAAUUUUUAAAAAAUUAUUGCUGUAGGCUGUCUCUGUGCGAACAAUCAGCCUGAGGUAUAAAAUGCAAGGUCUUCUGAGGUAUAUUCUGCACCUAUGCCUUUGACUAAGCAUGCAUUUCAAGUUUUCCCUGUGUAUGCACUUGUUUUUGGAUGUCCUAAUCUUUAAUGUCUGGUUAUGAAAAGGGGAAAAAGAGAGAAAUGAAGAGUUGAUUUUUUUUUAAAGGGGACCUUCAUCCCUUUAAAUUCCCUACAAGUUAGUUCAGCAGAUGGGGAGGCACAUGCAACAAUGGGAGAAGGUUCAACAGCAAUGGCCACCUGCAUCAUUGUCUACUCCUCUGUUGUCAGAAGCAGUAAUCAGAGCAGAAAUCCCUGAUAUUUGGAGGACAGGAUCCUUUUGGCCCACCCUGGCUCCUGUAAGCUAUGUAUAAGCUACUCCAGGAACACAUGCACACCUGUCAACCACAGGGUGGGAGGUAGGGGAUAGAUAGAUGCUACUGUUCUAAGAGCUGAUAUUAACCAAAAUUAAACACAAAUUACCAUUCAAGCCUUUCCCUGGAAUUUGCAAGCCUUCAAAAGAUUCCAGAGUUCCAAAAUAGUUAAAUCAGAUUGUGCCAGUGCAGAAUCUUCUAAGAGGGGAAACACUCCUGGUGCUUCCUACUCUGCCAUUUUCCUAGAAUCCUCCCCUAAAAGUAGUUACUUCAGCUCUAUAAUCCAUUUAGAGUUAGUUUUUAUAUAUGAUGUAAAAUUUAGGGUGAGGUUUUUUUUGUUUUGUUUUGUUUUGUUUGCUGUAGAUUUUCACUCCCAAUACUAUUUGUUGAAAAAAAUUAUCAUUUACCAUUGAAUUGCCUUUACACCUUUCCAAAAAUUUAAUGGCCAUAUUUGUAAGGCCUCUUUCUUUCACUGAUUUGUGUCCAUCUCUUCACCAAUACUACACCAUCAAUUAUUAGAGCUUUAUACUAAGUCUUAAGAUGGCAUAAUUCCUCCAAAUUUUCAAUUUUUUGAAAUUGUUUUAGCUAUUCUAGUUCCUUUGCCUUUGCAUAUAAACUUCAGAAUCAGCUUGUUUAUAUAUGGGGGAAAAAAAGCCCUACUGAGAUUUUUACUGUAAAUGCAUUAGAUAUAUAGAUCACUACAGGGAGAAUUACUAUGUUGAGUCUUCUAAUUCAUGCACACAGUAUGUCUAUUUAGGACUUUUUUGAUUUCUUUAAUCUGUGUUUUAUAGUUUUAAUCUUUUUUUGAAAUGGGGUUUUGCUAUAUUGUUCAGGCUAGCCUCAAACUCCUGGGCUCAAAUGAUGCUUCAGCCUCAGCCUCCCAAGUGGCUGGGACCUCAGACAUAUGCCACCAUGCCCAGCUGUUUUAUAGUUUUUUUAGCACACUGAUUCUAUAUAUGUUUCAUUAGAUUUAUACCUAAUAUUUCCUAAUUUUUGAACUAUUGUAAUUUUUUAAAAUCUUGGUUUCCACUUGUUCAUUAGUUUAUAGAAAUUUAGUUGAUUUUUGUGUUUGACCUUGUCUCCUGUGAUCUCACAAAAUCACUUUAGUUGUAAGAGGGUUUUUUUUUUUUUUUGGAGACAGAGUUUCACUGUUGUUACCCAGACUGGAGUGCGAUGGCGCGAUCUCGGCUCACCGCAACCUCCACCUCCUGGGUUUAAGCAAUUCUCCCGCCUCAGCCUCCCGAGUAGCUGGGACUAUAGGCGCGCACCACCAUGCCCAGCUUUUUGUAUUUUUAGUAGAGAGGGGUUUCACCUUGUUGACCAGGAUGGUCUCAAUCUCUUGACCUCGUGAUCCACCCACUUCGGCCUCCCAAAGUGCUGGGAUUAUAGGCGUGAGCCACCGCACCCGGCCAAGAGGAUUUUUUUUUGAUAGAUUACUUGGGGUGUUUUUGUUUACUUAUUUUCAUUUUAUUUUUAUUUUGAGAUAGAGUCUCACUUUGUUGCCCAGGCUGGAGUGCAGUGGCACAAUCGUAGUUCACUGAAGCCUCAAACUCCUGAGCUCAAGCAAUCCCCCCACCUCAGCCUCCCAAGUAGCUGGAAUUAUAAGUACAUGCCACCAUCCCAGCUAGUUUUUAAAAUUUUUUGUAGAGAUAGGAUCUCACUAUGUUUUUCAGGCUGGUCUCCAACUUCUGUCCUCAAGCAAUCCUCCUGCCUGAGCAUCCCAAAGUGAUGAGAUUACAGACAUGAGCCCCUGUACCAGGCCUGUUUUUGUUUUUAAACAUGUUGUCUAUAAAUAGGAAUAACUUAAUUUCUUUCUAACGUAUGCAUUAUAUUUCAUUUUCUUGCCUGAUUUCCCUAUCCAGGAUUUGCAAUAUGAUGUUGACUAGGUAUGGUAAGAGUAGAUGCCCUGACCUAGUUCCUGAUUUUAGGGGGAAAGCAUUCAGUUUUUCAUUUUAACGUACAACAUUAGUUACCAGUUUUUGGUAGCCAUUUAACUUUUUAACAUUCCCUUCCCACUAGUAUGUAUGCUCUAUCAAAGCAGGCUCUCUGCUCUCAACUCAACCUCUAGUGCUUAGUGGCUAGCAGACAGUAGGUUCUCAGUAAGUAUUCGUGGGCGGGGGGGGGGGGGAAUGACGAUUUAGUGCUUCCCUACUUUGCUAACUUAGCCAGCCACAAUCACUGUCCUGUAUGACAGACAACAGGGGGACUUGGCUGAAUAUGCACAGACGUUAGAAGAGUAAUCUUACAUUAAACACCCCAACAGAUCCGACUAGGCAUAUGCCCCAUAGAACUGGCAAUCUUAAGCUGCAGAGCAUUUGUAGAUCAGCUUUUCGGCAAGGCAUACUGUGUCAAAGCAUUUAUCUAUGAGGAAUAGGUGACUGCAGUAUAAUAGUUAUUUUAGAUUGACAGCAUUCCAUUCCCAAAAGGAAUUUAAACAAAAAGCUCUCAGAUAUGAAAAACAGGGGUUUUCAGGGUAGAGAAUCCCACUGCUCUGAAAUCUUAGGCCCUCAGACGGGUGGGGUUGUUUCGCUAAAUUUAUUUCAGCCGCUUAUAGAAACAGAAGGGGGAAGAAGGGGAUGGCUGUACACCAGCCCUGACUCUGUAGUAUUAAUAUCUGCCAGGUCAGGCUUUUAUUUUAUUUUGGAGGGCUGGAGAGACAGGCAGACAGCAAGAAUAUCUCACAAAUGCAUGGCUUUUGCAUUGCACUUUCCUGCCCUUCUCCAUCCACAUCACCCACUGAGAGCCCACUUUGUUGAGAUAGAGUCUCACUUUGUUGCCCAGGCUGGAGUGCAGUGGCACAAUCAUAGUUCACUGAAGCCUCAAACUCCUGAGCUCAAGCAAUCCCCCCACCUCAGCACUACAUCACCCACUGAGAGAGAGAGAGAGAGAGAGAGAGAGAGAGAGAGAGAGAGAGAGAGAGAGAGAGAUGGGAUCUGUUUGUUUACUUUCCAGCAGUGUGCGUGCAGGGAAACUGGGGUCUUUGUCCCUGGCCCCCAUCAGAACCCCUACACAAUCCCACACAUACCUCCAAUGGCUCUAUUACUUGAAUGUUAGGGGUUGUUGGAUAUAAAAUCCAGGCCCUUUAAACCCUGUUUACCUCCUCCCCAGCUUCCCCAAAGCACUGAACACACAUUCUCCUUAGUCUCUGAUACCCAAACAAUCUCUUCUGCCAUGCCAACCCCCAUAACUAGAAAAAGGAUUUGAAAUGAUGUUGCUUUUUCAAACUUGUUUUUUGCUAAAUUUGAAAUGCUUUACAAAGCACAGGUUAAUGAUCUCCCACAGGCUGAAGGGAAACUGAGGCACAGGAGCAAGAGGUGGCAGCAGGUGACCUGCACCUGCUGUGAGUGACUGAGAUUGAUGUCCAGUCCUUGACUGGCUCUCAGAGGUUCCCUGCUGAACUCAGGACUAGAGAAAGCCUGGGCUCAGUAUCUGGGGGGUUGCUGCCACAUGGCUGCUGCUGUUUGCUGGCAGAAAGAGGAGACAAGCAUGAGGAAACUAAGAAAUCUGCUGUGACUUGAGUAACUACAUGAGAACAUGGGGAAGUACUGUGCAUGGUGCCCAGCCCAUGGGAACCCAAGUGCCAGUUUGCUUCCUUGCCUGGGUCACCAAGGAAGGUGGGAGAAGGAGCGUCUGUCCUCUCCUCUCUCUACCCCUGGGGUGGAAAGAUGGGCAGAGACCGGUGGGAGGGAGGGUGAACUGGGGCAGAUGCUAGGGAGAGGCCCAAUAUGCAGAUUCUCCAAGGGGGUCUUGGUCUAAACUGUGGGGUCAUCUUCAGGGCAGAUCAAGGGACUCACACUUACUAGUAAGCUGUAAAGUGUUCACAGGUAAACCAAGGUGGUAUUUUGUCCUAGCAUCAGCGAGUUUGCUUUGGUAUUAUCCUCCACUACUCCCUAGCAAGACCCCAGGAUGGCCGUCUCCACCCUGGGGAGCUGUUCUUUUGAGAAACAGAAACCUCCCCAGCCAGAGCACGGAUCAGGCAGCUCUUGGAGGGUCGCCAUGUGGACAGCCGGCAGGGGAGAGAGAGAGGACGGACCUUUGCCACAGCCCUCUGACUUCUUUAGUGCUAAGUGUCUCCUGCCAACUGCACCCUCCACCCUGGGGUACUGUGGGCCCCCCAAACCAGGGCCUGCUCUUGUCUGACCAAAGGCAACCAGAUCUGCUGCAGCUGCUGGGUGAGGAAACAAGCUCUCCCAGAGACCAGAGAAGCAGCUGGAGAAAGAUUCCUGCCAGCCCGGGGGUGUAAAUAUUUAUACAACGUGGUGCUGGUGCGUGGGAAGAGAACGCAGAGGGAGGUGGCAGGAAUGAGGAGGCACUGACAUGGACAGAUUUAAGAGGGCUGCAUUUGGGGCCCAGCUAGGAGUGAGGCGGCCCGAGAGGCAAGGAGCAGGAGGUCGCUGGGAUCCUAAUCCCCACCUGAAUUCCUAUGUCAAAGGGGCUGGGUCUUUGCCCCCAGCUCUCCUGCCAGAGUCAAGAGGAGCAACUUGGAAGAACAUUCAUCACCCAUCCCCUAGUCAUUCCUUCUGUUGAUUACAGCCCUCUAUAUAGAGCAGGAGGUACUGCCUGGAAUCAGAGGUAAACCAAGUCCACAGGGCCUAGGAGUAAGGGCCUUUGGCCUCCUGAAGUUUAUGCUUUUCAGACCUUAAAGGAUGCUGGACCCUGAGAGUUGGACUCCAGAGUAGAAGGCUUAGAAAAUAUAAAUAAAAUAUAAAAUGUAAGCAAAGAUUUCUCUCAAGCUUUUAUAUAACCAAUAGCACUUCCCUCAAGUGACAGGGAACACUGUGCAUUGGUGAAGAUGAUGAUGAAGAACAGAUGGGACCCAGAAAGAGAGCAAGGUGUGCCUAUGGAAACGGUCCUCAACUGCACUCGCCAGAGAAGGAGGUGGCUACCACAGGGCCUAGAAAAGAUAAGGCAGUCCGAUGGGUAUCUACCUGGAGCUCUUGAGCCUCCUCACCCCAGGCUGCCACCCACCUCCGGGUGUGCCCAAGCAGAGCAUUGAUGCAGCUGCCCUCAGCCAUACCCACUGAGGACUGAGGCCCUAGGAUGGGAAGCGUGCCUGGACCAGUGGGGACAGCCAGAUGGACUCCAGUCAAUUUGCUUCUGACAGAUGGGGAGCAGGGCCCAGAAUGCUCCCACCCCACCCCACCACUUCAGACAGGGAGGGGCAUGGUUGCAACUUCUAGGAUUUUUCUGCUACCACACCCAUCAAGAAGUGCCACCUGCUUCAUCAGUACCAGGGCUGACCUGAGAGCCUCCCACAGGUGGGUUUGUGUUGCUGCCCAGUGGCCAAGAGUCUUUAAUAUACCCCACAAUUAUCGGCCUCUUCUAGCAUUCCCCCUGUACCCUCAAAAUGCCCACUCGCUAAGGGCAGGGACAGUGGGAAGAAAGGACCUUCCACUGGAAAACUGCCUCUGUCUCCCCAGUAGACAUCUCUGGAUGCCCAAGUCAACUUCAGCCACUGAGUGAGAAUCGAAGGAAACCCAGACUCUCCCAAGAGGCAGACCCUAUGCUGCAAAUUCUUCAAACACAGCACUGAAUUUUGCAAGGAAUACAUUCCCAGUGGGUACAACUCCGUGGAGCUCCAGCCUCUCCUGGUCUAAAGUAGUUAAUUCUCCAAUCCACAGCCCGAAGGAUGGAUUCCAUUGCCUCCCCGAGCCAUGGAGUCCAAGCCCACACACUGUGGAGGAGACACCAUCUGCCCCAACCCUCAGCCCAGGCCUGGCAGACAACAUCAGCCCUAAUAGGGAGAGCAGCACUGUCCCCACCCCCCUCCCCAGAAGGACACCAGGGCUGGGAGGAGAAUCUUCAGGCACCCAAGACCUCUUCUGCCUCUGUGGCUCUGCCUGCCGGCUGUGGCCUCUUCCUUGCCAGCUCUGCUUAAACUGAUGAACAAGAAUAAAAGCUCUGUGGCCCAAGGAAAGCUUUAGGGAAAAGAACUAAAGCUGAAAGGGGGAAAAAACCCAAAAAACUCUAAGAAAUGGGAGAGGAUGAGAAUUCAAGAAACAGACAAAAUAAAUCAUCCAGGAAUCCAGAUAUAAAACAAGGCAGACCAAAAGAAAAGAAAAAUUAUGCUAAGAAGGCAGAGUGAGGUGGGGAAGGAAGCUGAGAAUGAUAAAGAAUAGGGGGCCAGUUAUAAAUAUUCUGAAAAGAGAGAAGAAUAUGAAGCAAACAACACCCGAAAAAAAAUUUUUCAAAAGACCCAGGAGAGAAAAGGAGGCAGCAGUGAAUUGAAAACAACUGCCCUGAUCCCCAUUCAGAUCCACUCGGUAAUGUUCUGGGUGGCAACAACUGAGUCUUAGGGCUUUUGUGUGGGUUUCAGACUUUUCCUAACAUUGAACAAGGACAGUCCUAGAAAAGCAAGCUUCCCUUCUUGCCUUUGUGUUUCCUACAAUGUUCCCACCUCACUCCCACCGUUAGUCUUUUGCAGAGAAAAGGCUAGUCUUCCUGGGACAAGGCCAAAAACCAGUCCAACUCACCCCAGAGUAGGGUGGCUAACAUCAUGGUGUCCUAUGGCUGGCUCACUGGAGAAUGUGAGCAGGAGCCCUGUGCCAGGAGAAGAAUAUUAGGUAUGAGUAGAGCUGUGUGAUCAGCUUUUCAUCUUCUGGAGAGAGCUCUGGCCCAGCCACCUCUCUGUGGAUAAGGGCUCAUCUAACCCACAGACACAUCAUUCCUGGAAAAACAGAGGUUCACGGCAGAUUGGCAUACCCACCUCUAUGCAAAGCCACAGAAAUCCCAGCAAAUGCAACUUUUGUUAACAGCUUAGAUGAUUUAAAUUAAUUUCCAUGUCUUCUCAAGGGAGCCUAAAGAUAGCCACAACCAUUGUUCUGGUUGGCAAACAGCUUCUUGAAGUUCAGUACCUCAAUGCCUUGUGUCCAUAAACCCCAUGAAAACUUGUGGAAGGUGCUGGUCCCUUGUCAACUUGGCUUCUUUCAGCCUUCUAAUUGUUCUCUGUCUUCUGCGAUUCUGUCAGUGCCUCCCUUCUCUGUGACUGCUUUGGGUUUUCCAGUUUGCUUACUUAAACCUCUACACUCUUCAUUUCCCUAAGGGAGCAGGAGUAGGGAGAAAGCUGAAGCAAACCCAGGCAAAAUUGAGAAGCAAAGAAAGUAGCAAUGUGGGUGUUGGGUUCAGUGCCCAGCUAUGCAGUGCCCAGGCUGUCCUCAGCGGGUGAGGCAGGCUCCCCGUAGACAAGCAGCUCACCAAGCAUGUUCUACUGCACCUCCAAAGUUCAGCCAUGGUCUGAGCUCUGAUCAGCUGGGACAAGGAAAAUGGUACUCACACCAGCCCAUCUCCCUUCAAAAAUUCUUACCUACUUGACCCUGAUACUUCUGUACAUCCCAAAAGUAACAUUUCUUUUCUAUCAAAAACUGAGAGGUGACAAAAAGUGCAGGACGAAUGCCUACGUUGUGGCCUUACACACUCAGCUUCUCGCCAUCCCUCUAACCGUCAACAUGUCACAGUCAUAUAAUCUAUGACUCACACUAUUCUUUAACCAUGAAAAAAGACAAACCAGGAAAUUAUGAGCUGAAAUACGUAAAACGUAGUCCAUUCAGCUGAACUAAUCUCCUAAUAAGUGUGUGUAUAUCGAGAAGUCAUGCUCUAUCUGGUUUGAAAGAUGUGGAAAUUUCAGGAAAAGUGCAAGGUGACAGCAGAUCCCAACUUAUCGAGAUUGGUCCUCAAAAGGAUAAGGGCCUGGUCUUGGGCCGAGCUGCCCAGCAGUUUGUUAAAGGAGUCUUAAGAGCUGGGAACCAAUAUGUUGGCGUGAAGCACACCCACUCGAUGUUCAGGCUGACCAUGUUCAAAGUCUGGCACUGCCUCCACCUAGGCAAGUGGAGAACUCACUCGUCUCCCUCGGUCUCCUCCUUUGUGAAACAGCCAUGACAACAACCCCCAUCUCCUGGGGUUGAUAAGCAAAGCACUUGGCACACUCUUGAUGUGUAUGAGCUCCCCUUCCAAAAUAAAGGAACCCAGUCAACUUUUGUUGUAUAUUAAGCAGCAAUUGGCAAGACCAAGAAGAGCCCCGGAGGCCCCACAAAGUGGGAUUCCAUAGAGCCACUGGACCAUAGUCAAGUAUCCCAAGCAAGAGCGAGGAGAGCAUCCCAGAGGAGGCCCAAGCAGCUGGCGGGUGGAGCGCUGGCGGGAAAAACCAAGGACAGCACUUGCAGCCAGGGCGGCUGUGUGGGUGGGAGGACGCAGGGGGCUGCACUCCAGUCUCCCUGAAUUAGCUCAAGCUGGCUGCAUCCCCACCCUUGCAUGUGUUUAUCCUUCUGUGAAACGGAGCCCACAUUGACCUAGCACCCAGGAUGUUCAGCCAGCAAGAUGCUGGCUGAACAGUGAGUUGCAAGUGGGAGAUUUUAGCAUGAUCAUUGUCUCAGAGACUUAAUAACCGGGUGUUUCUGCCCAGAUUCAGAAAUCUGGCCUUUUAUGAGCUGGAUUGAAAGGAGAUGACCAAACGCUGAGAAAUUCUUAUUUGGGGGCUGAUUUUUUUUUUCUUUCAGUAAGUGGAAAAUCAAAGAGUUUAAAAGUGUUUUGAGACAUCUGAACACCAACUGAAUCUUGGUAAUGUUUAGGGAGUAUUAUUAAUUUUUAGGUGGAAUAAUGAUAAUGUAGCUAAGUUUAACAAGAGUCUAUUCUUUGGAGAUACUGAAUGAACUUUUUUUUUUUUUUUUUUUGAGACAGAGAGUCUUGCUCUGUCCCCCAGGCUGGGGUUCAGUGGUGUGAUCUUGGCUCACUGCAACCUCUGUCCUAAAACAAUUCACCUGUCUCCUGGUAGCUGGGACUACAGGCGCACUCCACCACGGCUAAUUUUCAUAUUUUUAGUAGAGACAAGGUUUCACCAUAUUGGCCAGGCUGGUCUCAAACUCCUGACCUCAAGUGAUCCACCCACCUCAGCCUCCCAAAGUGCUGGGAUUACAGGCAUGAGCCACCACACCUGGCCCAGAAUGAACUACUGACAGAUGAAAUAAUAUGAUGUGAUAUAUAGAAUCGACUUCAGAAUUGUACAGGCAGUAGGGAGGUGGAUGGUGGCACUAAUGAGCAGGUUUGGCCAUGAGUUGGUGAUGUUGAGACUGGGUGGGCACAUGGGGUCCAUCAAUUACUCUGUCUCCUUCUGCAUAUAAAUUUUACGUAAUAAAAUGUUUUAAGUUCAUAAAAACUAAAAAAGUUUUAACUCAAUGAUUCUUGUAUUACUAGCUUUUGCAAUACAAUAUUUACUUCCUAUAGACACGUGUCCUUGGACAGGAAAUGCAGCUAUGGAAAAACCUGUUGGGAGUAGGAGAGGGCUGGAGAGCAGAUGGACACCCCCACCCAAGGGCAACCCUCCCCACACUUCUGUGGGACCAAGAGUGGGGUCCUGCUCCUCUGGGCUUCUUGGGCCGGAAGAGUGCAGGCAGAGGGACUGAUGUCCAUUUUGAUACUGCUUUUAAGUUCAGUAAAAAUUACUUUAAAUUUGCUUUCAAUGUAUUUUUAAAGCACAAUUAACUUUUUUUUUUUUCCUCAGUAGAAAGCCAUCAUAGCAGGGUGGGCAAGCUACUCAACCUUUCUAACCUCACUUUUCACAACGGGAAAAUGGGGACACUUAGACAUACCCCAAUUCCCAGGGUGUGAGGGUGAAUGAGAUCAGUGUGUUGAGUGCCUCACAUGGUAAGAACUGUAACAGGGUAGGUCUGAUAUGUGGUUUGUUGUGGCUGCUAAGCCUCCGAGAGGACCACAGUAGAGCCACCCCAUUGUGAGCACCCUGUUUGAAUCUGAAUGGUUUUCUUAAACAUUUAAGUGAAAUAAAAAUUGAGGCACAUAUCCUCUGAAACCCCUUUGGGCUAAGUACCCUGCUGGGUGUCAACUCCUUCGGGUGUCACAGAAGCCAUGGCUGUGCUCAGCGCCCCCAGCCAGAGGAGCUGCCCAGGCUCUGGGAAGAACAGGGCAGUUGGGAUGGAGCCACCACAGCUCUCUCUAGUUGAAGAAUUAGUUGGAAAAUGAAGAAUAGGGGACUGCCCACUCCUGUCCAUGGCUUUGAAUGUCAAAAUGCACCCCCAGAAAGUAGACCUGCAGACCAAUCCUUCCGAAAGAUGGGGUUCAGGGUGCUUUAGACAGACAGCAGGCAACAUCUCCCAAAAAGGAGCUAGCUGAGUCUCAGAUGAGCGGCCUAUGGAGGCCUCCAGACAACAGGGGCAACACAACAUCCCCUCAUCAGUGCGAAGGCCCUGCCAAAUGGCUGUGCAAAGGUGGCUGGGCAAGAGAUACAGUUCCAAGAAGAAAUCAAGGAGCCAUGGCACGCAGAAGGACUUCCAGGAGAGGCAAGUGGCCUGCACAGCCAGUUCAUGCCCCCAGACUACUGGGUGGAUGGCUUCCUGCAGACACACUUCAGCCAGAAGAGAGUGAUUGUGACUUUGGGUGACAAGACUGGAGGAGACAAGGUGGUCAUCCAGCCCACUGUCAGAGCGGCCACACCAAGUCUUUGGGUUCUUGCUCUAAGUCUUGCCAGCCAGAUGAAGGGAUGGAGGAUUCACAUCCAGCCACGUCUUGACACUGCUGAUUCUGGAGGAGGAAGGAUGGAGCGUGGCACCUCCACCUGCUCCCUGUUCUUGCCUAGGAGGAAACAUGAAAGGAGGCCAGAGAGCCCAAGACAAAGUUCGAAAAUGUUCUCAAAAGGUCCUUGGGCUUUGGGACCUUCAAAUGCAUUCGUGAGACUAUCCUAAGCUUCUGAAAGCUCCCUGGCUCCAGAGAAGAGGGCAGUCUCUGGCUACUAAAUGUUGAGUGCAGAGGCUAAUGGCACGCUAGAGCCAGAAUGCCUGGGUUCAAAUCCCAGCUCUGCUAUGUAUUAGCUCUGUAACACUGGGCAAGGUACUUAACCCGUUUCCUCCUUUGUAAAAUGAGGAUAACUAUGGCCCUACGGGGCAGAGUUGUUGCUUAGAUCAGUAGAAAACCCUCAAUUAAUUUAGCAAGGGGCCCUCCUCUGCCCAAUGGGAUGUGCUACUACUGACCCCAUGGGGUUCUGGAAAAAAUCAACAUGCUACUACCACGUGGGAAGGCAUUUGAAGGAAGUGGAAAGUUUUCACAGAAAGUAGCCCAGAGACAUGCACAGAGUGCUGCUCUCAGCACAGACCAGAACCCAAAGAUUUGUGCCUCUGUCAGAAUGCAGCUUUCUGGAGUCAACCGGGCUACAGAGCUCCAUGGAGUCUGGAAUGGGAAUGGGUUUACUUAGGCUUCCUCUGGAGGGGUGGAGAGGAAGGGUGAUACUUUCAGGCUUUGUGCAGGACAAGCAGGGAGUAUUGCUCAAAUCCAAGCUGGCUGCCCUGUGGGGGACACAGGCCCACGCCGGCAGGCCUGGGGAGAGCCACUGCCUGCUGAGGUGAGGCCGGCACCAGUUGGUGUGAGGAGCCCACCUCUAUCUCAGAGCUGGACUUGGCAUCCCAGGAUGGGGAGGAAAGGGUUAAGCCGGCUCGGUCUCUGGAGGGAAGGAGGGAAAGCACUCACAGCUAUAAACAGAAAGCCCAGGGAGGGAGGGGGCUGACACAGGAUGUGGCCAGGGCUCGAGCUGUCUGAUUAUUAACUUCACUUUUAUUUGGAGGGGGAUUCGAUUCUCUGUUUUACUUCCCAUCAAGGAAGUGAAAGCCCAGGUCUCAGAGGGGCCUGGUUUCAAAUUGUUUUGUCACAGCUCAUUUAUUUUUCCUUUUAAAUAAAUAAACAAAACCACCUCUUUGUUUUCCCCUUAAUGAGCAUUCAGCAAAUCAUCUGUGGGUGAAGCAUGAACGGGGUUUUCUGGAGUCCUUCAUGGGAGAAGUUUGGCUUAUUAUUUUAAAAGGAAAAAGCAAGGAUCUCGCCUUUAGCUCCAGGCUUCUUGAAGGCUGUCAAGGCACUUUCUCUUUUGCCUCCUCUGAGAUAUCCACUUAGACCAGCGAGGAGUCUGAAAUCACAGCCUCAAGCCAGGCCAAGGCCCCAGGAGCUUCCUUGGCUGGACCCUGGGGCCGGACCCACAGCCUGCCAUCCCAUCUGACAUGCCCUGACACCAGGCCACGCAGAGGAAGCACCCAGCACCGGCUCAGUUGUUGUCUUGCUUAGGCGCAGACCCAUGGCUGUGUUCCUACAGCACCCUGACAUGUCUACUAAAACUAACUUAAAGCACUUAAACACACAAAAGGAUUCCAUUACAGGUUUAAGAAAAGACCAUUACAUGUCCCUUUUGCCCAAGGUUCAAAACGUUUGGGAACUUGAUUUCAACAUAAAAUUUGUAUCAAAACCCAUUCAAUCCCAUGAUCUCCUUGCAACAACCUUUUCCUGAAAGACCUGCACGUGGGACCCCAGGGCCAGUAUCACAGGGUCCUGACCCUCAAGGGGUCUCACAAUUCAACAAUUCAGUGAGGGAGGAUGCAGUGACAAAGACUGUAAGGAAAAAACAGGAGAGUUUAUAGCAGUAGCUACUGCUACUCAAGGUGGGCAGAGAAGGGAGAAGGCGGAUUUUGCUGGAAACUAAAAGGAGAAAUCCGGGAAAGCUUCCUGGUGGAGCUGAUCUUUAAGCUGAACCUUUAAGGACUGACACGAUGAACGGAUGUUCUGGAACCCGAGAAAUAACCAAGGGCCAGAAAGACAGCAUCCAUGUAUGAACUGAGCUAGACAGAGGCAACAGUGGGGCCUGGGGCUCCUGAGAAUGGCAUUUCAAGUCCCCAUGGUGGACAGGGACGGGAAUGCUUCGGCCGCCUGGAGCCAGCUCCGUGGUGCCAGUCCCUGACCUCUGGCUUGAUGACUGGUGUGCCUCUUGAGCAAGCAGAUACUACGCCUGGUCUUGGACCCUGUCACUUGCCUGCCCCACAAAAACCUGCUGACCGCUGUGACCUACUUUAACGGCCCCUGACUUUCUGCUCUUCGAAUAUGGGGCAAAAAGGAGGGCGACUGAGGCCACUCAGUACAUUUGAGGCUCAGAGGCUCAGGCCUGCCUUCGCAGCGGCUACUGGAGUGGCGAUUCCCAAAACCCGGGGUUAGCUGCCAGAGUCCAGGGUGCUCCUGGGCUUCUGCGACGCCCCCGCACUCCCGCGGCCGAGCUUCGCGGUCGAGCUCUCCGGUCGCCCCCCCCGGCGUCCGCUCCGCCGCGAGCUAGCACCUAGCCGGGCCGGGCACCGGGCCGGGGCGAGGCCGCCAAGAUGGCCGACGCGCUCUGCAGCGCGCGGAUCACGCGGGAGGACUGCCCUUGGGCUCCGGGAAGCAGCCAAGGUUCCGCCGCCCUCCCUGGCGCUCUGCCCCGGUCGGUCUGCUGGGAUCUCCUUCCCAGCGCCCCCUUCGGCUCCCGGGGCCUCGCGAACCUUCCAGGCCCGAAGCCAUCCAGACGCGCGCACCAGGCCCGACCCGGGAGCGGAAGGCGCGACGCAGCCGGGAGGAGAGACAGGGGCCGGGGCUGCUCGGCGGCUCGAAACGCGAGGGGCCCGAGAACCAAGACUGCUGCAGGAGGCUGCGGCGGGGGCGAGAUCCUCGCUACAGCUUAGGGCCUGGCGUCCCGCAGCCGCUCUCUCCCGGAAGCCCUCGGAAGCGGCGCGAUGGACGUGGCCACACUGCCCUCCAGUGGCCAGCCCGCCGAACAACACUCCUGGGUCCCGUUUGGGGGUCGGGGUGACGUGUCCACGCUCUGCCUUUUGCUACAUUUGACGGUGGGAUUUGCUCAUCCGUUGUUCCUCUUACAGGCCGCCAAAGCUGCCCUCCGCCACAGUGCACACUGACCCAACAGCAGGUUUGCCGCCUUCGGUGGUUCUCAAACUUCAGUGUGCACAGGAAUCCCCUCCCCCACCCCGCCCCUGUCCUCCCCUUGACAGUUCUUUCAGACCCGGAUUGCUGGGUUCCCCAAAUAAGUCAGAGAACUUGCAUUUCUAGCAAGUCCUCAGGUGAUGCUGAGCUGCUGGCCCGCUGGAGCCACAUUUCGGGAACCACUGGCUCGGCUCACUCUUUCUGUCCUGGGGUUUCUGUCACCCCUCAUUCAAUGCAGAACAUGACCUGCAAGGCACUGAGGAUGAGUGGGUGGAACAACUUUCCCGCCCUGGUGGAGCUUAGUCUAACUAAGCUUGUUUCAACAAAUCACCUGUAAAGAAAUACAGGAUUCCAUUUGAAAAGGCUUUCAAAUUCCUGUGAAGGAAAAGGAUAAGGUGCUCAGAGAACAUAUAUAAAUGGGCACUAAUUUCGAUUUGGAGUGGGAAAGUUCUCAGGGAAGACUUCUCUGAGGAAACCCUCAAGCUCAGGCCAGGAGGAGGAGGGAUGAGGUCCUGAGGGGAAUGGGGAGGGACUGGAGCUGGCAGGCCCAGCAGGUAAGGUGCAGACCCUGGCUGUAGAAGCAGAGACUGGCAGGGGCAGGCAGGGGGUCAGAGCCUCUUAGGUCCAUGCCUCUGGUCCCCACAGAGCUGCCUCCACAGAAGGGCAGCAUCCAGGGGAGAAGAGGGCCUGGCUGCUCAGACUGUAGCUGCCCACUCAGCACCAAGAAGGGUGCUCCACCUUCAGGAACCCCACAGGAACCCCAGCCAGGUACCCACAGCCCACAAACUUCUCUUUGCCUGAACAGAUUUACAUAGGUCCCUUCUGUAAGGCCUGAAGGACAGUCCCAUUUGAUGGAACCAGAUCUGCUGAUAAUGAUGAGUGCACAUGAUGUUACCAUGUACCCAUCAAUGCCCUCGGUGUGCCAUCUCCUCCCUCCUGCAGGUCCAGGAUCCAGUGAGCAUUUGUAAGCACCCACUAUGUGCUCUGCACCAGGAUCACUGCAGUGCUGUGUGAGACAUGGCACAAAGGGGCCAGCCGGCCCUCGGAGGCUCCAAGCACCCUGGCGGGCAGGAUCUCCCUCUGUGGCCCAAGCUGGUCUCAAACUCCCAGCCUCAAGCACUCCUUCCACUUCCGCCUCCCAGAGUGCUGGGAUCACAGGCAUGAGCCCCACGCCCAGCCUCAGAUAUAGAUAUAUCCAUAUAAACGAUGGUCCAUCCAUGUGAUGGAAAACCCGGCAUACCACUGAAAACAAUGAGAGAGAUCCAUACCCACUUAUGCAGAGCCAUCUUCAAGAAGCAAUGUUGAAGCAACAUGGUGAGAAAGCACCAUGGUGAGUGUCUGGACCGUGGUGAUGGUUGUACAACUCUAUAAAUUUACCUUAAAAAUCACUGAGCUAAACUGGGCACAGUGGCUCACGCCUGUAAUCCCAGCACUUUGGUAGGCCGAGGCAGGCAUAUUGCUUAAGCUCAAGAGUUUGAGACCAGCCUGGGAAACAUGGUGAAACUCAUCUCUACAAAAAAUAUAAAAAUUGGCCAGGCAUGGUGGCGCAUGGCUGUAGUCCCAGCUACUAGGGAGGCUGAGGUGAGAGGAUUGCUUGAACUUGGGAGGUUGAGGCUGCAGUGAGCUGAGGUCAUGCCACUACAUUUGAGCCUGGGCAACAGAGUGAGACCUCCUCUGUGACCAUCUCACACACACAUAAAGAGAAAAACAAAAGUCACUGAACUGUACUCUUUAAAUGAGGGAAUUGUAUCGUAUGUGAA
Non-coding RNA from Callithrix jacchus (white-tufted-ear marmoset), 27462 nucleotides. Lineage: Eukaryota; Metazoa; Chordata; Mammalia; Primates; Cebidae. The record is from RefSeq and is a predicted model, not a curated record.